CAGUAGCCGCGGUAAAACGAAGGGGGCUAGCGUUGUUCGGAAUUACUGGGCGUAAAGCGCACGUAGGCGGAUAUUUAAGUCAGGGGUGAAAUCCCAGAGCUCAACUCUGGAACUGCCUUUGAUACUGGGUAUCUUGAGUAUGGAAGAGGUGAGUGGAAUUCCGAGUGUAGAGGUGAAAUUCGUAGAUAUUCGGAGGAACACCAGUGGCGAAGGCGGCUCACUGGUCCAUUACUGACGCUGAGGUGCGAAAGCGUGGGGAGCAAACAGGAUUAGAUACCCCAGUAGUCCCUGUCUCUUAUAC
RNAcentral lists this ribosomal RNA (301 nucleotides) under uncultured bacterium. RNAcentral describes it as "partial 16S ribosomal RNA". It matches the Rfam family "Bacterial small subunit ribosomal RNA", at positions 509 to 807 of the family's 1533-position model. The record is from RNAcentral.